UGCAAGUCGAGCGGCAGCGGGAAAGUAGCUUGCUACUUUUGCCGGCGAGCGGCGGACGGGUGAGUAAUGCCUGGGAAAUUGCCCAGUCGAGGGGGAUAACAGUUGGAAACGACUGCUAAUACCGCAUACGCCCUACGGGGGAAAGCAGGGGACCUUCGGGCCUUGCGCGAUUGGAUAUGCCCAGGUGGGAUUAGCUAGUUGGUGAGGUAAUGGCUCACCAAGGCGAC
Molecule: ribosomal RNA, 227 nt
Filed under: Aeromonas sp. SBRD8
Lineage: Bacteria; Pseudomonadati; Pseudomonadota; Gammaproteobacteria; Aeromonadales; Aeromonadaceae
Description: partial 16S ribosomal RNA
Rfam family: Bacterial small subunit ribosomal RNA
Source: RNAcentral